UGGGGAGUAGUAUAUUGGAAGUACAGAGGGUUUUGAUCUCUCAGAUACAGGUUCGACUCCUGUCUUUUCAA
This 71-nucleotide transfer RNA is filed under the name Sphenophryne schlaginhaufeni (Wandolleck's land frog). Its description in RNAcentral is "Liophryne schlaginhaufeni (Wandolleck's land frog) tRNA-Gln". It matches the Rfam family "tRNA". From Rfam's summary of the family: Transfer RNA (tRNA) molecules are approximately 80 nucleotides in length. Their secondary structure includes four short double-helical elements and three loops (D, anti-codon, and T loops). Further hydrogen bonds mediate the characteristic L-shaped molecular structure. tRNAs have two regions of fundamental functional importance: the anti-codon, which is responsible for specific mRNA codon recognition, and the 3' end, to which the tRNAs corresponding amino acid is attached (by aminoacyl-tRNA synthetases). tRNAs cope with the degeneracy of the genetic code in two manners: having more than one tRNA (with a specific anti-codon) for a particular amino acid; and 'wobble' base-pairing, i.e. permitting non-standard base-pairing at the 3rd anti-codon position. Lineage: Eukaryota; Metazoa; Chordata; Amphibia; Anura; Microhylidae. The record is from RNAcentral.